UACUGAUACCACUUUAUCCAGGAUGGCCAUUGCUUAAUUGAACCAUUGGAAAAAGCUACAAAACUCUAUGCCUUUGUGCACUGGUUUACUAUAAAAGGGAACUUGCAAUUGAGACUAACCUGAAAAACAAUUAUUUUGAUUAUUCUUAGUUCUUGGAUUACUCCUCAAAAAGCUACAAACUCUAUGCCUUUGUGCACUGGUUUACUAUAAAAGGGAACUUGCAAUUGAGAUUAACCUGAGAAACAAUUAUUUUGAUUAUUCUUAGUUCUUGGAUUACUCCUCAACCCUAUCUUCUCAUUUAUCUUUCAGUCCUAACAAUUUGCUGGACCUACAACUCCUGCUUCCUAAUUCCUGGUUCACAGCAGAUUACUAGUUGCAUUCUGAUCCAGUUCAAGGCAAGAAAUAUGCAGGGUGGUUGAUCAUUGCCUUCCUCUAAAAUGUAACCAACAGGAAGUGUUCUUCCUCCAUUGUGCCCCUUCCAGGUACUAAUUCAGUUUGACCCUGCUCAGAUUUAAUGUUCAUUUGGGAUAUGGUGCCUUCAGGGUAUUUGGGUUAACAAUGAAUCAACACAUGGUGUCUACCAAAAGCUGAUGGUCAUAGUGAUUUCAUAGUACCUCUACUACCAGAACCAAUAUACCUUUCUGAAGAACGCUUUAAAAAUGCUAUGGUGCUGAAGUCCUGCUUGUGGGCUUCCCAUGAGCAUUUGUUUGGAAUCUGAGGGGAACAAAAAACUCGACUAAAUGGACACUUGGUCUGAUUCCGUAGAGUUGUUCUUGUAUCCUCCACAUGCACACAUACAACCAUAAUUUGGGACUAAGAAGGAAUACUUAACUGAUCUACAAUGUUCCCAGAAAUGUAGCCCUGUUUAACAAUCAGAAAGAGUUGCUGAAGUUGAUGUCUGUCAAAUGUGCUGGGCCCAAUGCCUCCCAGUUAAGACUAAUGCAGGUCCCUAAACAGAACUAUGUCAAUGAUAAAUUACUCUAAAACUGCUAAAUGUGCAAACU
RNAcentral lists this long non-coding RNA (1004 nucleotides) under Anolis carolinensis (green anole). Its description in RNAcentral is "lncRNA (ENSACAG00000040278.1)". Lineage: Eukaryota; Metazoa; Chordata; Lepidosauria; Squamata; Anolidae. The record is from RNAcentral.